CUUCAUUUUUUUUUUCUUCAUUUUUUUUUUUCUUUUCAUUUUCCUUUUUCUUUUCAUUUUCCUUUUUCUUUUCAUUUUCCUUUUCCUUUUCAUUUUCCUUUUCCUUUUCAUUUUCAUUUUCAUUUUCAUUUUCAUUUUCAUUUUCCUUUUCAUUUUUCUGUUCAUUUUCCUGUUCAUUUUCAUUUUUCUUUUUUUUUUUCUUUUUUUUUCUUGCCUUUUUUUGAAAUAAAUCAUUAGUAUUUAGGUAGUUGUAUCCGAUAUAGUUAUACUUAAAAAAAAAUAAAAAAAAAAAUUGAAAAUUGGGCA
Molecule: long non-coding RNA, 306 nt
Filed under: Piliocolobus tephrosceles (Ugandan red Colobus)
Lineage: Eukaryota; Metazoa; Chordata; Mammalia; Primates; Cercopithecidae
Description: lncRNA (ENSPTEG00000016370.1)
Source: RNAcentral